Molecule: ribosomal RNA, 478 nt
Filed under: uncultured bacterium
Lineage: Bacteria
Description: partial 16S ribosomal RNA
Rfam family: Bacterial small subunit ribosomal RNA
Source: RNAcentral
GACGAACGCUGGCGGCGUGCUUAACACAUGCAAGUCGAACGGUAAGGCCCUUCGGGGUACACGAAUGGCGAACGGGUGAGUAACACGUUGGUGAUCUGCCCUGCACUUCGGGAUAAGCCUGGGAAACUGGGUCUAAUACCGGAAAGGACCUAUGCCUGCAUGGGUGGUGGUGGAAAGCUUUUGCGGUGUGGGAUGGGCCCGCGGCCUAUCAGCUUGUUGGUGGGGUGAUGGCCUAACAAGGCGACGACGGGUAGCCGGCCUGAGAGGGUGAACGGCCACACUGGGACGGAGAUACGGCCCAGACUCCUACGGGGGGCAGCAGUGGGGAAUAUUGCACAAUGGGCGCAAGCCUGAUGCAGCGACGCCGCGUGAGGGAUGACGGCCUUCGGGUUGUAAACCUCUUUCAGCACCGACGAAGCGCAAGUGACGGUAGGUGCAGAAGAAGGACCGGCCAACUACGUGCCAGCCGCCGCGGUAA